CAGUCGCGCGGGAAUACAGAGGGUGCGAGCGUUAAUUGGAUUUACUGGGCGUAAAGCGUGCGUAGGCGGCUAAUUGAGUCGGAUGUGAAAUCCCCGAGCUUAACUUGGGAAUUGCAUUCGAUACUGGUUAGCUAGAGUGUGGGAGAGGAUGGUAGAAUUCCAGGUGUAGCGGUGAAAUGCGUAGAGAUCUGGAGGAAUACCGAUGGCGAAGGCAGCCAUCUGGCCUAACACUGACGCUGAGGUACGAAAGCAUGGGGAGCAAACAGGAUUAGAUACCCGCGUAGUCCCUGUCUCUUAUACA
RNAcentral lists this ribosomal RNA (301 nucleotides) under uncultured bacterium. RNAcentral describes it as "partial 16S ribosomal RNA". It matches the Rfam family "Bacterial small subunit ribosomal RNA", at positions 509 to 808 of the family's 1533-position model. The record is from RNAcentral.